This 310-nucleotide long non-coding RNA is filed under the name Elaeis guineensis (African oil palm). Its description in RNAcentral is "long non-coding RNA (EGUI_LNC019597)". Lineage: Eukaryota; Viridiplantae; Streptophyta; Magnoliopsida; Arecales; Arecaceae. The record is from RNAcentral.
GCAAGAUGUUUCAAAAUUGGUUCAUUUAACUGAUAAUUGGACAUUUGUGCUGAAAUUAUGAGCAAUUUGACCUUGGAUAUUUGACAACAAUUUUGAAUGGCAUAACUUCUGGAUAUAGAAAUAGAUAAAAAUAUAUCAUAUGAUUAGAAAUGAUUUAAAAUAUUUAAUAUGGCAUAUGUUACGAAGCUUUGUAUGUGAAACUAUACAAUAAAAUAUUUAAUUGUAAUUUGAUAUGAUAGGUUUAACUAAUACGUGAUAAUUUCAUGAACAUUCAUUCAAUACAGAGACUUAUAAAGUUGGAUCAAAAGCC